CCUACGGGGGGCAGCAGUGAGGAAUAUUGGUCAAUGGCCGGAAGGCUGAACCAGCCAUGCCGCGUGAAGGUCAGUGCCCUAUGGGCGUUAAACUUCUUUUGUGCGGGAGCAAUAAUGGUCACGUGUGGCCAGACGAGAGUACCGUACGAAUAAGCAUCGGCUAACUCCGUGCCAGCAGCCGCGGUAAUACGGGGGAUGCAAGCGUUAUCCGGAUUUAUUGGGUUUAAAGGGUGCGUAGGCUGUGAGGUAAGUCAGCGGUGAAAUGCCCCCGCUCAACGGGGUGAAGUGCCAUUGAUACUGCCUGGCUGGAAUGCGGAUGCCGUGGGAGGAAUGGGUGGUGUAGCGGUGAAAUGCAUAGAUAUCACACAGAACACCGAUUGCGAAGGCAUCUCACGAAUCCGCGAUUGACGCUGAUGCACGAAAGCGUGGGUAUCAAACAGGAUUAGAUACCCGAGUAGUC
RNAcentral lists this ribosomal RNA (460 nucleotides) under uncultured bacterium. Its description in RNAcentral is "partial 16S ribosomal RNA". It matches the Rfam family "Bacterial small subunit ribosomal RNA", at positions 338 to 795 of the family's 1533-position model. The record is from RNAcentral.